Molecule: ribosomal RNA, 421 nt
Filed under: uncultured bacterium
Lineage: Bacteria
Description: partial 16S ribosomal RNA
Rfam family: Bacterial small subunit ribosomal RNA
Source: RNAcentral
UGGGAAUUUUGGACAAUGGGCGAAAGCCUGAUCCAGCAAUGCCGCGUGUGUGAAGAAGGCCUUCGGGUUGUAAAGGCACUUUUGUCCGGAAAGAAAUCCUUGGCUCUAAUACAGUCGGGGGAUGACGUACCGGAAGAAUAAGCACCGGCUAACUACGUGCCAGCAGCCGCGGUAAUACGUAGGGUGCAAGCGUUAAUCGGAAUUACUGGGCGUAAAGCGUGCGCAGGCGGUUUGCUAAGACCGAUGUGAAAUCCCCGGGCUCAACCUGGGAACUGCAUUGGUGACUGGCAGGCUAGAGUAUGGCAGAGGGGGGUAGAAUUCCACGUGUAGCAGUGAAAUGCGUAGAGAUGUGGAGGAAUACCGAUGGCGAAGGCAGCCCCCUGGGCCAAUACUGACGCUCAUGCACGAAAGCGUGGGGAGC